Molecule: ribosomal RNA, 680 nt
Filed under: Priestia megaterium
Lineage: Bacteria; Bacillati; Bacillota; Bacilli; Caryophanales; Bacillaceae
Description: bacterial SSU rRNA
Rfam family: Bacterial small subunit ribosomal RNA
Source: RNAcentral
GGGAGCAAACAGGAUUAGAUACCCUGGUAGUCCACGCCGUAAACGAUGAGUGCUAAGUGUUAGAGGGUUUCCGCCCUUUAGUGCUGCAGCUAACGCAUUAAGCACUCCGCCUGGGGAGUACGGUCGCAAGACUGAAACUCAAAGGAAUUGACGGGGGCCCGCACAAGCGGUGGAGCAUGUGGUUUAAUUCGAAGCAACGCGAAGAACCUUACCAGGUCUUGACAUCCUCUGACAACUCUAGAGAUAGAGCGUUCCCCUUCGGGGGACAGAGUGACAGGUGGUGCAUGGUUGUCGUCAGCUCGUGUCGUGAGAUGUUGGGUUAAGUCCCGCAACGAGCGCAACCCUUGAUCUUAGUUGCCAGCAUUUAGUUGGGCACUCUAAGGUGACUGCCGGUGACAAACCGGAGGAAGGUGGGGAUGACGUCAAAUCAUCAUGCCCCUUAUGACCUGGGCUACACACGUGCUACAAUGGAUGGUACAAAGGGCUGCAAGACCGCGAGGUCAAGCCAAUCCCAUAAAACCAUUCUCAGUUCGGAUUGUAGGCUGCAACUCGCCUACAUGAAGCUGGAAUCGCUAGUAAUCGCGGAUCAGCAUGCCGCGGUGAAUACGUUUCCCGGGCCUUGUACACACCGCCCGUCACACCUAUCCGACGAGUUUGUAACGACCCGAAGUCGGUGGAGU